This 497-nucleotide ribosomal RNA is filed under the name uncultured bacterium. Its description in RNAcentral is "partial 16S ribosomal RNA". It matches the Rfam family "Bacterial small subunit ribosomal RNA", at positions 28 to 507 of the family's 1533-position model. The record is from RNAcentral.
GAUGAACGCUGGCGGCGUGCCUAAUACAUGCAAGUCGAGCGAACAGACGAGGAGCUUGCUCCUCUGACGUUAGCGGCGGACGGGUGAGUAACACGUGGAUAACCUACCUAUAAGACUGGGAUAACUUCGGGAAACCGGAGCUAAUACCGGAUAAUAUAUUGAACCGCAUGGUUCAAUAGUGAAAGACGGUUUUGCUGUCACUUAUAGAUGGAUCCGCGCCGCAUUAGCUAGUUGGUAAGGUAACGGCUUACCAAGGGAACGAUGCGUAGCCGACCUGAGAGGGUGAUCGGCCACACUGGAACUGAGACGCGGUCCAUACGCCUACGGGAGGCAGCAGUAGGGAAUCUUCCGCAAUGGGCGAAAGCCUGACGGAGCAACGCCGCGUGAAUGAUGAAGGUCUUCGGAUCGUAAAACUCUGUUAUUAGGGAAGAACAAAUGUGUAAGUAACUAUGCACGUCUUGACGGUACCUAAUCAGAAAGCCACGGCUAACUACUUG